RNAcentral lists this long non-coding RNA (571 nucleotides) under Homo sapiens (human). RNAcentral's name for it is "HSALNT0406025". Lineage: Eukaryota; Metazoa; Chordata; Mammalia; Primates; Hominidae. The record is from RNAcentral.
ACUCUCUGCGAGAUCCCCCCUCCUGCUUGGUAGGCGCCAGCCAGCCUGGUUAACCCCUGCAGACCCAAUCGAGGAAUGGCCUGGUGAGAAUCCACUGUCAAUCUCCUUUGGAACGGUGGUGUGGGACUUCAGGGAGAAAUUCUUGGCUGGCAGAGCUGUCCUCUUGGGGGAGUGGUGAGCUUCCAGUCACCAAAGGGAUGUAAGUAGAGGCAACAGCCAUCAGUCAGGGUUGCUUCUGAACAAUUCCUGCCCCAGAAGGAUGUGUAUACAGGACGUGAGGUUCCUCCUCACCCCUGGAGACCGGAGGAGAUCAUGGUCCCUCUGAGCGUGGUCCCAGAGCCUUUGCCCUCAAGGCAGCAGGCCACUGAGAGGCGACAGACCUGGACUCAAAUCCAGCGUGACCAUUUCCAAGCCAUGAGACGUUACUUCACCUCCUUGGCCUCAGUUUCCUCAUCUGCACAAUGGCGUUGUGAGGAUCAGAGCAAAUAUAAGUGGAACUUCAAGCUCUGAGCUGUGUCUGGCAAUCAGGAGAUGCUCAGUUAAUGCUCCUCCUGCUUCUGCUCUUCUUCUU